UCCCUGGUGGUCCAGUGGCUAAGACUCUACACUCCUAGUGUAGAAGGCCCAGGUUCGAUCCCUGGUCAGGGAA
This is a non-coding RNA of Dama dama (fallow deer), 73 nucleotides long. The record is from the annotation of a RefSeq genome assembly. NCBI's taxonomy places the organism in Eukaryota, Metazoa, Chordata, Mammalia, Artiodactyla, Cervidae.